Cairina moschata (Muscovy duck) is the source of this 2326-nucleotide long non-coding RNA. Lineage: Eukaryota; Metazoa; Chordata; Aves; Anseriformes; Anatidae. The record is from Ensembl.
AUGAAACUGCAUUUGGAGGAAACUAAUGCAGAAUCACUAGUAGUAAGUUUCAUGUUUGACAUGUAUUUCAUGUGCAAUAGGUUGUGCCAUAAAGUGAAAGAAAAUAAAGUUGCCUUUAGGAUUAGUCAUCUGAUUAGUUUUAUUGUGGUAAAGUGUAGUUUUUUUUAAAAUUACUUUUGCUAGAAUUGCUAUGAAUAUUUCAAAAAAUGUUAAUUUGCAUAAAAAGCAAAGCAUAUUCAGAUGGGAAACUUCAACUUUUGUCGAAGUCUGUGAGGACUUAAACUGUACUGGAGUUAAAUUUUUAAAGACUUCCUGAAUAUUCUUUCAUUGGUAACUGUUUUCCUGCUUAUAUGUGAACAGAAUCCACAGUCGUAAAAUGCAAAUGUUACUGGGACUGUCCACAAAGCUGCUAAGACACUAAAAACAUUAGAGUAGUGUCUCCAACAAUAUCUUGAAAAGCUGCAGUUUGCUUCCAGUGAUACUGAAAUGUCAAUGAGGGAGGCACGUGCUGCUUCGUGUUCAUGUGUCUCAGGCACUCAGUCUCAUCUCUUUCAAACAGUUGUACUAUGAGAAGACAAAGAAAACAAUUUACAGUACAACAGAAAGCUGAAGCACCUAGUUUAGCUACCUGGAGAUAUUAUGAAGACUCCAGAGAUUACAGGUGAGAAAUCUUACAAGAAGGUUAGAUUUUCAUUUUCCUUGUAAUGAAUUCAACAUUUUAAGCUAAUUGUUUCUCCACUACAGUAAAUUCAACAGGACAGGAUAUUCCAGAAGCAGAACUUAAUCUGACGGUUGUAGAGAUGUUCUAGAGAGUCCUUGUUCAUCUUUGUUAGAAAGAAGUCUUGAAAUCUCAGACACAUUGUGAAUCAUAUGCUUCAGGGAAAAACAAACAAACAAAAAAAAACCACAGCACUGUUGUCUCCUCUCCUGUGAGCUUGUUUCCAUCCUUUCUCAUUUGUUAGCUCUUCUUUCUCCUUCAUCUUGCAAUUGGCUUCAAAUAAUCCCUGCUAGUAAUGCUUCUCCAUGACCUGUCUUCUGGUUUUACCAGUCCCAUGUCAGGAACUGUUUGGUAGAUGUCUUCACAGCUUUUGCAAGAGGUGAAAAAUAGAGGCUUUGAGUAAGAAAUCUAUGAAUAUCAUAUACGUAUGUAUAUAUAUGUAUGCAUAUGUAUGAUACAAUAUAUAUUCUGGAUAUAAUAUGUAUAUAUUUGUGAAUAUUGUAAUCAAUUACCUACUUCAGUAAACUCCUGAAAUGGUUUCUUUUGAGUUAACUAGUGAAAGCCUGUGAAGCAAGAGGAAGUAUUAUAAUUAAGAUUACUUUAUUUGCUCAUUUGUAAAUCGUUCACUACUCACUGUAAUCCAGCAGGAUUUACCACCGUUUCAAAAGAAUUCCUUUUCCACCUCUAAACUGUUUUAAUUCUUUGGGAUUCACUAAAGUAGGCCUCAUUAAUUUAAAUUGCACUCUUUUUUUAGCAUUUAGAACAGGGUACCUGUUGCCAAAUCACUCUGUUAGAAGCUGUUUACUGAGGAUAUAUAAAAUGCACCAUUGCUGAAGCUAAUAUGAUUUAUAAUUUGCUUUUAUGGCUUUAAUUAUAUUUUUCCCCCACAUUACAUGUUGGGACUGUGGUGGCCUUUUACAAGUGGUUUAAACAAAAGGAAGGAAGCUAAAGUAAAAAGGGACAAUAGCUGCCCUUUUGGAGUAGCAGCUAGAGGCCAGGUGGCAUAGCCAAAGUGUCUAAAAUAACUCAGGCUUGUGUGUAAAUGACUGACUCUCAUCACUGAGUAAGCAUGGAGAGAAACAUUGUAUUAGCUUUUGGCUUACUGUUUUUUAUUUCCCUAGAGAAUGAGCAUGAAUGAUUUUUGAAUGAACUUUAAUUGAAUGUUUGGCUUUCUUUUUUGAAGGUACCUUUUGUGCUAUCACUACAGUGUAUGAUAUAAAAAAUACUAUCUUCCUUAGGCUUGGAGACUUGUUUCUAACACCACCAGAUGUGUAUGUCCCGGAGACAGAGGUAUGUGUGGUACACACAACCCUUAGAACUGCUGCGUUCCUGGCAGAGAGCUGCUUCAUGCACAGGUCAGGAAUCAGCAUGCAAGCCACUUUCAGAAUGAGAAGCAAGGAUUUGCUGAAGAAUGGCUCAAUUUGAUUAAUUUUCCAAUAGAUUUCAAAUCACUUACAGCAGUGAAAUGAAGUUCAAUGAAAUAGAUACAGCAGGAAAGAUACACUUUAAUCUUCACUUUUGAUUAAAUCUGACUCAAUCUUCAGCAUCAACUCCUGUUAUCUAUAAUUUGGAAACUUAGAUUAUGAAUCAAAGAGAAGGAAAGUCCUG